Molecule: non-coding RNA, 89 nt
Filed under: Candidatus Methylobacter favarea
Lineage: Bacteria; Pseudomonadati; Pseudomonadota; Gammaproteobacteria; Methylococcales; Methylococcaceae
Description: c-di-GMP-I riboswitch aptamer
Rfam family: c-di-GMP-I riboswitch aptamer
About the family: GEMM was predicted in a large-scale screen for bacterial structured RNA regulatory elements. Genes associated with GEMM are involved in a diverse array of functions, including chemotaxis regulation, signal transduction, secretion and chitin.
Source: Rfam by way of RNAcentral
CACCCAGAAUGCUACACCUGCUGCGAAACAGGGCCGGAAAGUUACAGAUCUCUUUGAACUUCACUAUGAGAGAUGGCUGAAUUGCAAGU